Molecule: ribosomal RNA, 513 nt
Filed under: Triticum aestivum (bread wheat)
Lineage: Eukaryota; Viridiplantae; Streptophyta; Magnoliopsida; Poales; Poaceae
Description: partial small subunit ribosomal RNA
Source: RNAcentral
AUGUAUAGAGCGUUAAUCCAGUCUGAUGUGCCAGUUGUUAAUAACAAGAAGAUCUGUAAGAUAAAGAUACCUCUUAAGAAUAAAAUCUUUACAUGGUAUCUUCGUCGCGGAGUCAUUCUUACUAAAAACCUAAUUAAGAGGAAUUAGCAUGGAAGCCCGCAAUGUGUAUUUUGUCACCAUGAGGAGACAAUAAAACAUUUAUUCUUUCAAUGCAAAUUGGCUCGUUCUAUAUGGUCAGUCAUCCAAAUAGCUUCUGGCUUGUAUCCUCCAUGUAGUGUUGCUAACGUAUUUGGCAACUGGUUACAUGGGAUUGAUCACAGGUUUAGAACUCUUCUCAGGGUGGGAGCGCUUGCCGUUAUUUGGUCGCUUUGGCUAUGUAGAAAUGAUAAAGUUUUUAACGAUAAAAGUACUUCUCUGUUGCAGGUUAUCUACAGAUGUACCGGGACUCUUCGUUUAUGGUCCUCUCUACAACGUGUGGAGAAUCGAGGCCUGUUUACGGAGGUGUGUACAUGA